UGAGGAAUAUUGGUCAAUGGGCGGAAGCCUGAACCAGCCAUGCCGCGUGCAGGAAGGAGGCCCUACGGGUUGUAAACUGCUUUUACCCGGGAAGAAACCGCCCCCUGUGGGGGGCGUUGCCGGUACCGGGGGAAAAAGGAUCGGCUAACUCCGUGCCAGCAGCCGCGGUAAUACGGAGGAUCCGGGCGUUAUCCGGAAUUACUGGGUUUAAAGGGUGCGUAGGCGGGGCUUUAAGCCGGCGGUGAAAUGCAGCGGCUCAACCGCUGGAAUGCCGUUGGGACUGGGGCUCUUGGAUACGGUCGGGGCGGGUGGAACUCGUGGUGUAGCGGUGAAAUGCAUAGAUAUCACGAGGAACGCCGGUAGCGAAGGCAGCUCGCCGGGCCGGUAUUGACGCUGAGGCACGAAAGCGUGGGGAUCGAACA
RNAcentral lists this ribosomal RNA (422 nucleotides) under uncultured prokaryote. RNAcentral describes it as "bacterial SSU rRNA". It matches the Rfam family "Bacterial small subunit ribosomal RNA", at positions 355 to 774 of the family's 1533-position model. The record is from RNAcentral.